CAGUAGCCGCGGUAAUACGAGGGGGGCAAGCGUUGUUCGGAAUUAUUGGGCGUAAAGGGUGCGUAGGCGGUUUGAUAAGUCAUCUGUGAAAUCUCUGGGCUCAACCCAGAGUCUGCAGGCGAAACUGUCGGGCUUGAGUAUGGGAGAGGUGAGUGGAAUUUCCGGUGUAGCGGUGAAAUGCGUAGAUAUCGGAAGGAACACCUGUGGCGAAAGCGGCUCACUGGACCAUAACUGACGCUGAUGCACGAAAGCUAGGGGAGCAAACAGGAUUAGAUACCCGAGUAGUCCCUGUCUCUUAUAC
Molecule: ribosomal RNA, 301 nt
Filed under: uncultured bacterium
Lineage: Bacteria
Description: partial 16S ribosomal RNA
Rfam family: Bacterial small subunit ribosomal RNA
Source: RNAcentral